Molecule: ribosomal RNA, 338 nt
Filed under: Debus dolosus
Lineage: Eukaryota; Metazoa; Arthropoda; Insecta; Coleoptera; Curculionidae
Description: partial 12S ribosomal RNA
Source: RNAcentral
AUAAUGUGUUAAUCCUYAAYUAUUAGUAGUUAAGUUCUUGAAAAUUAAUAAAGAUGGCGGUAUUUUAGUCUAUUCAGAGGAAUCUGCCCUGUAAUUGAUAUUCCACGAUUUAAGUUACUUAGGGUUUUAGCUUGCAUAUCGCUGUAGGUUGAAUAUUUCUGUUGAAACAAAAUAUUCAAAAGGUUUAAGGAAAGAAAAUCAAGUCAAGAUGUAGCUUAUGCCUGAGAAGAGGUGGAUUACAGUGUUUGUAUUUGUGGAUUGAUCUUGGAAGUGAGAUUUUGAAAUUGGAUUUGAGGGUAAUUUUUUACUAAAAUUUGAAAGAUGAUUUGAGCUCUAAU